Molecule: long non-coding RNA, 422 nt
Filed under: Homo sapiens (human)
Lineage: Eukaryota; Metazoa; Chordata; Mammalia; Primates; Hominidae
Description: ST18 antisense RNA 1
Source: RNAcentral
GGCCCCCAGGAACUUCCUGUUCUAGGACACCCCCAGCAAGUCAGGGCCCCUCCUGACCAGGGACCAAGGCUUCGGAGAAGACUCUGGAGAAGGCUCGGAGGAAACUGGGAAGCUGGUUCUUUGGCCCAAAGUGCUUUUACAGCCUACCUGUAUUUUACCGGCCCUCCUAGACGGGGGGAACUCCCCUGUCCUCUGCAGGAAUGUCAAAAGCCACCCAUCUUUAACCACCUAAUGCUCCCAUCAGCAGAGAGGCACACAGCACAGUGAACGUCGAGCAUGCACACCAGGAAGCCCAGGUUCGAGUUCUGACCGUCACUUACUGGUGGUAAUGAUGGUACUAGAUGUCAGAGUCAAGGGAGCUGAGGAAGGCAUCCAAGUAAGGAGGUGGCGUGGGCACUCCCUGACAAGGCUACACGAGUGCA